AAAUCAUCUUUUCACUGUUUUCUUUUACAUGGAUAUGAUUUCAAGCAAGUAAUUAAGGGGAGGUUAACAACUUUAAAAAUCAAUUUUUAUAAAAACUAAACAAAAUGAAUUAUAAUAAUUGAUUGAAUAUUGUUUAAUGUCCCUCUCAAGAAUAUUUCACUCACAUGGAGACCUCAGCACUGCCGGUGAAGGGCUGCAAAAUUUAGGCCUAUGCUUGGCACUUAUAGCCAUUGAGCAGGGAGGGAUCUUUAUCGUGCCACACCUGCUAUGACAUGUGAUCUCAGUUUUUGCGGUCUCAUCCGAAGGACUGCCCCAUUUAGUCGCCUCUUAUGCUCAUAUGACAAGUAAGGGGGUGUUGGGGGGUUUACUGAGGAUCAAUUCUAACCCGGAUCCCCACGGGAUAACAAACAUAAUAGAUGAACAUUUGAUGCUACAGUUUUAAGAGUUUUACUCUAUUAUAGAGGAACUCUCCCUAUAGGUAACACGUGUAUACAUGUUUAAAAGGAAAAUAUAGAAACUAAUGAAAAAUUAAACCACACCUAUGGAACUUGAAAAUUUUGGUCCCAAUGCAGUCAGGUAGGGCUGUGCGGUGCACCGAAAAUUUCGGUGCACCGCGAUUCAUACCAUUCGAUUCGAUGCACCGAUUACAAAUUCCGGAUUUCGGUUCGGUUCGGUUUAGAUUUUACUUACACCAAAACAACAAAUAUGGCGUCCGAGUGAUGUUGAAAACAUGUGGAUUUUUAUGCAACAGAGAUUUAAAUCACUACUGUGUUGAGAGUUAGCAUUUUCACCACUCAUAUACCAACAGAAUAUGGUCCGUAAGAUCAUUGCAGUUUAUCUUUACAUGACAUAAAGCAUUUUUGUCAGUGGUGGAAUGAAAUCAACAUCGUAGGUAAUGAAACAGAUUUGACAGUUAAUAUGAGAGAAGUAAAUCAAUAAAGGAGAGAUUUUCAAAGACUCUCAAUUGAUAGAAUUAUUGAAUUUUUGCAUAUCAAUGAAAGCAAUAUCAUAUACAUUUUAGAUUCACUAUAGAUUUGUUUAAUAAUCCAAAACUUAUGUAGCACAUUGAUAUAACAAAUUUUGAUAGACUGUCAGUGUUUUCUUUUUUCUAUCAAAGUUAUAAAAUGUCAUUAUGAAUAGAUAUGAUGUUUACAAAUGACGACAUAUAGUUAUAUAACUUGAAUAAAAUCAAAUCAAAUAUGCUACUCAUUAAAAUUGUUAAUUUUUGUGGUGUCAUUAGAUAAAUUGGACCUAACAUGAACCGAAUCGAAAAUAACCGAACCGUGCUGUUCUGAAUCGAAACCGAACCGAAUCGAGCUAACCCUGAAUCGUCCCAGCCCUACAGUCAGGGCUCGCGCUGCCCAUCGCAUUGUCGCAUUUUGCGAUUUUUCAGGAAAAAAUGCGACAGAAAUUCCGGAAAUGAGACACGGACAUUUCGUAUUUUAGAAAUCGCGGCGCCAUCUUGGAUUUCAGCUGUUGGCAUCCAAACAGCCUCAGGGCUGUUUUACCUGUGCAGAAUGUGGAUACCCUGCCACAUGGGAACAAUAGACGUAGGGGUGUCUUGUUUAUUUAGCAGUUUACACAAGACAAAAGGUUGAUCCUCUGUGUGCAGACUUCCCGAGUUCCCUUCUCUACAACAUGAUGAUAUUUACUGAAGGACUGCCUUGCCAUUCAAGAUUUCAAGAUGAAAACAGGAUUCUUCAGUGAAUUCUUUGAAGAAUGUGAUGUUGUGAAACUAUGAUGAUGUGUUAUGUAUUACAGUAAUUAAUCUUCAGUAACUUUGUCAUCAGUGACUUUUUAUAGACUGCAAAUUUAAUGUUAAUGAUGAGUAUUAUAUGUCAUUUGCACUACUAACAUGAUUAAUAAACAUAUUGAAACUCUU
Molecule: long non-coding RNA, 1882 nt
Organism: Ostrea edulis (European flat oyster)
Lineage: Eukaryota; Metazoa; Mollusca; Bivalvia; Ostreida; Ostreidae
Exons: 2
Source: RefSeq, a predicted model, not a curated record